Molecule: ribosomal RNA, 462 nt
Filed under: uncultured bacterium
Lineage: Bacteria
Description: partial 16S ribosomal RNA
Rfam family: Bacterial small subunit ribosomal RNA
Source: RNAcentral
GACGAACGCUGGCGGCGGGCUUAACACAUGCAAGUCGAGCGGUAAGGCCUUUCGGGGUACACGAGCGGCGAACGGGUUAGUAACACGGGGGUGAUCUGCCCUGCACUUCGGUAUAAGUCUGGGAUACUGGGUCUAAUACCGCAUAUGACCUCCUAUCGCCUUGUGGGUGGUGGAAAGAUUUAUCGGUGCAGGAUGGGAGCGCGGCCUAUCAUCUAGUUUGGGGGGUAAUGGCAUGCCAAGGCGACGACGGGUGGCCGACCUGAGAGGGUGAACGGGCACAAGGGGACUGAGGGAGGCAGCAGAGUGCUAUGUGAGACAGUAGGGGGAAGUCUUACACAGUGGGACCGCGCGGGUUGCAGAGGCGUCGCGGGUGGGAUGACGGCCUUCUGGGUGUAAAACGCAUUCGGCAGGGACGAAGCGGUAGUGACGGUACCUGCAGAAGAAGCACCGGCUAACUACGUG